CUUGCCCCUAAAGGCUUUGCAGGUAUGAUGCUGUGCUACAAGUGCACCAGUAGGUGGUAGAGAGGAAAGAUGCUAUGUCUACCUUCAGUGUUCUGUCCUGUAAACAUCUAAAUUAUUAGUAGUCUAACACU
This is a small nucleolar RNA of Rattus norvegicus (Norway rat), 131 nucleotides long. Ensembl annotates it as small nucleolar RNA SNORA17. NCBI's taxonomy places the organism in Eukaryota, Metazoa, Chordata, Mammalia, Rodentia, Muridae. The record is from Ensembl.